Molecule: ribosomal RNA, 505 nt
Filed under: Staphylococcus epidermidis
Lineage: Bacteria; Bacillati; Bacillota; Bacilli; Caryophanales; Staphylococcaceae
Description: bacterial SSU rRNA
Rfam family: Bacterial small subunit ribosomal RNA
Source: RNAcentral
AAUAUAUUGAACCGCAUGGUUCAAUAGUGAAAGACGGUUUUGCUGUCACUUAUAGAUGGAUUCCGCGCCGCAUUAGCUAGUUGGUAAGGUAACGGCUUACCAAGGCAACGAUGCGUAGCCGACCUGAGAGGGUGAUCGGCCACACUGGAACUGAGACACGGUCCAGACUCCUACGGGAGGCAGCAGUAGGGAAUCUUCCGCAAUGGGCGAAAGCCUGACGGAGCAACGCCGCGUGAGUGAUGAAGGUCUUCGGAUCGUAAAACUCUGUUAUUAGGGAAGAACAAAUGUGUAAGUAACUAUGCACGUCUUGACGGUACCUAAUCAGAAAGCCACGGCUAACUACGUGCCAGCAGCCGCGGUAAUACGUAGGUGGCAAGCGUUAUCCGGAAUUAUUGGGCGUAAAGCGCGCGUAGGCGGAUUUUUAAGUCUGAUGUGAAAGCCCACGGCUCAACCGUGGAGGGUCAUUGGAAACUGGAAAACUUGAGUGCAGAAGAGGAAAGUGGAA